Molecule: ribosomal RNA, 253 nt
Filed under: uncultured bacterium
Lineage: Bacteria
Description: partial 16S ribosomal RNA
Rfam family: Bacterial small subunit ribosomal RNA
Source: RNAcentral
UACGGGGGGGGCAAGCGUUGUUCGGAAUUAUUGGGCGUAAAGGGCUCGUAGGCGGCCAACUAAGUCGGAUGUGAAAUCCCCAGGCUUAACCUGGGAACUGCAUCCGAUACUGGAUGGCUUGAAUCCGGGAGAGGGAUGCAUAAUUCCAGGUGUAGCGGUGAAAUGCGUAGAUAUCUGGAGGAAUACCAGUGGCGAAGGCGGCAUCCUGGACCGGCAUUGACGCUGAGGAGCGAAAGCUAGGGGAGCAAACAGG